AUAAGGAGGGGUCCGUGCCGUACCCGUAAGCUGCUCACGCCCCGCGGGGGAAGUCCGGUCGAAUUCCGGCGCUGACCCGCAACGGUAGGCGGAGCCGUCCUGAUGGCUCCGCGAGCCCGAUUACCCGCGGCGGUGAAAGCUCCUGU
Molecule: non-coding RNA, 146 nt
Filed under: Streptomyces sp.
Lineage: Bacteria; Bacillati; Actinomycetota; Actinomycetes; Kitasatosporales; Streptomycetaceae
Source: RNAcentral